Long non-coding RNA from Serinus canaria (Common canary), 2427 nucleotides. RefSeq lists it as uncharacterized. The transcript is spliced from 2 exons. The record is from RefSeq and is a predicted model, not a curated record. Lineage: Eukaryota; Metazoa; Chordata; Aves; Passeriformes; Fringillidae.
GCCCGGCCGCUCCGCCCGGUACCCGGCCCCGGCCCGCCCGCUCCGCCCGGUUCCCGGCCCCGGCCACGGCUGCCCGGCGGCGCUGCUCUGCCGGGCGGAAGCUGCGGCUGCUCCGCUCCCUGUGUCCGCCCCGGCGGGGCUACGAGCGCUGUGCCCCAUACACGCGACGGGGAGCGGAGCCAGGGCGGCUCUCACGGGGCAGCCGGAGGAGCCCGGGCUGCGCGGGGCUGCGGGAGCCCGUGGUCCUGGCGGGGGCGCGGGCCGCCGCGCUUGGUCCCGGUCCCGCCGUCCCGGCGCUCCGCGCCUGCCGAGCCCCGGAGCUGCUGCUUCUGUGAGCAGCUGGGAGCUGGACUGGCGGUGGCACGCGUUACCAAACCCGACGUGUCUGCCUGCUCGGACACGACCUCUCUGCACCUGGAACACCUGCCCGAGUGGAUUCCUUACGCCUGUGUCACACGCUUGUCACACAUCUUCCUGCUCUCUCCCGUAGGACUUGGCGCUGUCGAACCUCUCCAAGGAAUCUGCACAUACAGCUCGGAGAAUAAAAGAGAGAAAAGCGUCUUGCACAAACCCAGCCAGGUUUGGAUUCCCCUCGGGAGAGCAGUUUCGCUUAUUUUUCAGGCGGAAAGAGCAUGUUGAGGUGCAGCCAGCUGUAUCGGUGGCUCACCUGGUGUCGGUGCCGAGAACUCCCCACAGCACUGCGGGAUCGCUGCCGUGGCUUCCUGGGAUGGCCGCAGCCCUUGGCUCGGAGUGCCAGGCCCUACAGCAGAGGCUGGCAGGCACGGCCAGGUGCCUCGAGGUGAGCUGUGCUCGCUCUCAACUCAUCAGUUCCUAGACAGGUGCAUUUUAAUGUGUGUCUGAAGUGGAAAUAGUUUUUAGGGAGAACUCUGGAAGCACAGCAGAUGUUCCUGGUGGGCUGGAGAGCAGCCAAGGGGCUGCAGGGCACCUGCCAGGUGCUGUAGCCUGGCUGGGGCUAAGCUGAGCAUGCAGGUCUGUCUGCUGUGAGCUCUGUCUGGAUGUGCUUCACCAUCCUUUCAAGUCUGGGGGCUUGAGAGGGGUCAGCUCUGUUCAGAGAACCAGGCAGGCCUCAAUAACCUCUUCUGAAUGCCUUGAGGAACUGUCACACUUUUACUUGGCAAGUUGGAUCAGCUGCCUUGGGAAGAAAACCUGAAACCUGAGGGAAUCCUGUAAUGAAUGUCACAUGUCUACUCAAUGACCUGAACUGGAAACACCUCCCUUCUUGGCAGUGCCAGCUGAGGUAUUCCUUAUCCUAAACUCAGUUUCAGUCAGAAAAGACACAAGGUGAUGGGUUCAAUUUUGUUUGGGUUUUUUUUUUUGAAUUGAAAUCUAACAAGAGCUUGCCAUUUCUUCAGAACUGAGUGGUCUGGACAGACCUAAUGAUAAUGUGUGUUAACUGAUCUAAUGCGAAUUAUAGGUAACACCGGAGAAAUUAAUUAAUCCUGCUAUUUUCAAUGACACAUUUUGGAGUUUUGCUUUAUGCAAAAAUCCUCUUAUGUUCCAGCUGUCAGUAAGAAAACUACCUCCCACUACAAGUUUUGCUGAAUUACAGAAAAUUUAAUCAAAUCCUUAGGAAUUCUUGCUUGAUAAAUCCUGAUGAAAGCACAGGUGGUAACAGGUGUUGGAACCAUGGCUUGACUUUGAUCCUGCUUAAGCAGGAGGCAGUUAGUUCACCAGGCUAAUGCUGCCAGAAUUCUGCCAGAGCAGUGUGAGUGAGACCAGAUGAGAAUCUUUCAUUGUUGGUAUUCAGUGCCUAGAGAGUAGGCAUUCCUUGGGAGGUUUUUUCCAUGGUUACUUCCAAGUUCUUGCAGUCAGACCGAGCUUCCAGUCACUGAGGCAACACUUGUUCUUGUGCAUUUUUCUGAGGGCUGCUGCCAGGUGCUGGUGACGGCUGCUUAGGGCUUGGACACAACUUCAGAGCUCUCCCAGGAGGAACAGUCAGGACUGGUUUUCCUCCUUUGGUAUUGUAUUUAUUCACACUAAGUCUCACCUGUCCUUUUACCUGCCAUUUUCCAGCACUGUGAGGCUUCCCCUGGCAGUGUCACCCCGUGGCUCACUGCCUCCUCCAAACGGCACAGGGACAAGGUCUGGCACAGCCCUGUGGGAGCUGCUGUUUGCUGUCAGUGAUUCAAGCAGAACGUUCCCAUGGCAGAGGUGGGAGCUGCAGGCAGAGUCAGUUGUGGUGACCAACACGGUGCCAGGGAGGUGGCAGGGGCAAGGACUCCUCCAGGAGAGCCAGCCCACGCCAGGGGAUCCCAGCUGAUCCAGCACAGCUGUGCAUGCGGUGUAACCAUGGAGCAGCUGCUGUGCACUCGUGUAUUAGCACAGCUCCUCAGUGUAGGUUUUGCAAAAUAUUUAUUGCAAAAUAAAGGAAAUAUGGCAACAAAACUUAAAUACCAAAUGACAAGA